RNAcentral lists this long non-coding RNA (1457 nucleotides) under Mus spretus (western wild mouse). RNAcentral describes it as "RIKEN cDNA 4930517E11 gene (ENSMSPG00010044546.1)". Lineage: Eukaryota; Metazoa; Chordata; Mammalia; Rodentia; Muridae. The record is from RNAcentral.
GGUGUGCCCACGUGCAAGAAUUCAGUGUCCACAUCGAAAAACUCCUCUGUGGAUCUUCUUGGAAGACUUGACAACAGUGAAUUUAAAAGGACAUCACUGAUUCUGAGUGAGAGACUGCACCCAACUUUCCCAUUUGAGUGAGUCAUGAAUAAGCAUCUGGAUUAGAUCAUCUACAAAGACUGUUCCAAACCAGCUUAUGUGCAUGAAUAUGAGAGAGUAGAGAAGAUACAAAUCAACUUACGUUAGGGUCAGAGACCAUGACGGACACUAAGAGCUUUUAAAGAAGACUCAUGCUAAGCAAGCACGGUCUGGGCUAUAAACCAUACAUUUGUGCCUGGGAAUCUCCCUACAUCAAAGGUUCUAGAACCUGCUUCAAAGGUGCAUCUUAAUAUAUUAAUUCAUUUGUAUCUUUGCUUUGGAUCAUAUUGAGCAUUAAGAUGAUUCAUUUUCUAGCUCUUUUUUUCUUAACACCUUGAAUGGCUCAACUACAUCUGCCAGUAUUAAUUUCAGCCUCGUUAAGUUCAGUAUGUGUGCUGUCCACAAACAGCUUCUCUACCAGGUCUCCUGUAGCCAGUUAAUGGUAAUGAGGCUCAUUGUUUCAAGUCCACAUUGGUGCAAGGCAAAUAUUCCUGAGCACAUGACCAUGUCUAGAGAUGUGGUCAUGUUGUACAGAAUGGCAUAGAACUUUCACAGUGACUCUGAGUAAAGAAAAUAUUACAAAACAGCUAUACACAUGAAACAAAUAGAAAGGCUUCUAUUUUUGUUGUCUAAAUGGCUAAACACUUAGAUGCUUGGAAUUUAGAAUUGUACAAAUUAAGCUCCUUAAAGAUAUUGGAUAGAUGCUUCUUCUCUUUUGUUAAUGAAAGUAAUUGGCUACGAGUUUAUUUCCAGUCAAAAGUGCACACUCCAGGGAUGAGCAUGGACUUCUCUGGACAGUCAGCACCUCUCUGAGGUUCUGUUUUGCAAUCUUUCUUUCUCUCUCAUUUUAUUACUCUUUCCCCAGCCUAAUUCUCUGGCCCUGCCUGUCUCUUUCAUGUGCACACACCUAAGAGAUGUUCAUGUAUAAGAGAAACAUUAUAAGAAUCAGUUGACUAUAGUGUGUGAUGGAGGCUGUUGGGUUCUUGCAAUGGCUGCCUUUGGCAAUAGCUGCCAUGUGGAGGGAUCCUAGCUCUCCAUUUUCACUGGAAACCCAGAUCCCCCAGAGUUGUGACUGCUCAUCAACCAUGGCAUCUCAGAGAUAUGGCAAAACCUUCCUUGGUCUGUAAAUAUUGGCCCUCUUUAGCUUUCUCCCUGAAUACCGAAUACUUAUGGUGUAUAUACUUUUUCCUUACAGUGAAAGAUCCCAUCAAAAUUUGCUCAAUUUCAGCUGAAUAUAAUAACCUUUCCUCCAUGUUUAUAUGUAUGUAAUAAUCCCACCUCCCUGUUCAACUGUAUACAAUAAAUAUUCUGAAAUUCCU